Long non-coding RNA from Passer domesticus (house sparrow), 1308 nucleotides. RefSeq lists it as uncharacterized. The transcript has 2 exons. The record is from RefSeq and is a predicted model, not a curated record. NCBI's taxonomy places the organism in Eukaryota, Metazoa, Chordata, Aves, Passeriformes, Passeridae.
AUCACAAAGCAAACGCUCCAUGUUGGUCUGUGAGUUUAUGCAAAGCAAUAACCAACCUUCUCUACAGCAAACACAAAAUAGCCUGGGAAGUUCUUCUUGGUCACAAAGCAGCACAAAUUGCCCUCCUGGGCCAAAUCCUGUUGUUCAAGGGAUCCAAGAGUAACUCCAAGAGUGCCCUAAGCACCUACAGCCUGUACCCCAACUGAGCACUCAGAUGGGACCCAAGCAAAGGAAACCAGAUCAAGAAAAUAGCCCAAAGCAUUGCACAGAACCAGGAGAGAAGCCAGUGUCGGCAUAACAGCUGAAAAUUUACUGACACCAGAGUAGGAGUGUCCUGUAAGCCCCUGGUGGUCGUUGCCACAGGUUCAGGAGGAGACCCAUGCACCAAAUAACCUAAGACACAACUGGGCCUGCAGAGCAAAUAAUACACACCAACCCCUGGAUUACCAAAAAUGCGCUGAACAGGUGAAGGAGCUGGAGCGUGGUGCUCGUUGGCAAGGGCAGGUAGGCAGUGCACUUCCAGGACAUCCCCUGGAUCAAAACGGUGUGCAUCUCAUCCUUCUCACCCCUCCACCCCAGAACCAGGCCUUGACCUCCUGCUCAGAGUGGGAUUUUCCCAGUUACAGCAUCAGCUCACUCACGGCUGGCGUGAGAGAUGAGGCCACCAUGGCUCACCAUAUUCCAUGACUCCCUGCCAACAAGGGCUCCAUUAUGCAUUGUUCCCCUUUCAAAGCUUGACUGCCCAUCAAUUGGUCAAUAUAUUGUUUCUUUUUCAAGGGUGUCCUGGGUUGACUACAUGAUGCUUGUAUCUCCAGUCAUCUGUUCUGUGUAUGCUGAAUAAUAAGUUUUGCACCUUUAAGACUUGUUCCAAGAGUGAAGGGGGUGAGAAGAAGCAUGGAGUUUCUUUUCAGAAACUGCACUCACUCCUCCACAUUCCUGCUCCUGGACUGUGCUCUCUGUGGAUGGACAGAUGGCAUGACAGAGCUCUUCUUUGCUUUUAGUUAUUUUCAUCUAGCUGAGGCAAAGAGUUCCCUGGACUGUGGGCUUUUUAAAAAUUUUUUUCCUUUUCUUUGGAUCUGUUUGAACCUGCUCCAGACAGAACACCAGAAGAGCAGCGGCAGCUCACACAUGCCACCCACUGGGCUGUGGCAUUUCCAGCGACAGAGGGACUGAUUAGAGACUGAGUGAGCUUAGCUACGGCCACGGAAGAGACUUUCUGAGUUUGUCUCUCUUUUGGAGCAGCAAGAGAUUUUAUUGAUUAAUAUUGUUUAGGUUUUAUUGUUUAAUAAACAGUUUUUUACAUGUUUC